This is a long non-coding RNA of Oncorhynchus mykiss (rainbow trout), 2570 nucleotides long. The record is from Ensembl. Lineage: Eukaryota; Metazoa; Chordata; Actinopteri; Salmoniformes; Salmonidae.
GUUCACAGACAAUCCUCAUUGUCAGAAUCCCCCAAAUACUCCAGAGUGGGCAGAACUGGAGAAGUCGUACAUGAGUCUACAUUUGUUUUAGACACAACCACUCGUGCCAGUUCUUCUUGUUUUUCUAUACUCCUUCAAACUGAAUAACUGAUCUACUUGUUUUGAGCCUGCAAUAGAGGGGCACAACACGUGGCUUGGGAAAAAAAACUCAUGUUCCACCCAGAUAGUUUUUCACAACAUUUCCUCUUUGCACCGGUGUCCCGCCUCUAGACCAACUUAGUUGUGAGAAAGUCUGUAUCUUUAGAGGAGGUAGCCAUAUGACUGUAUCAUUUAUUGAUAUUCUCCUAAUUAGUGAUUAACUGACGGUUCUUAGCAGGAUUGGGCUAAAUGCUGAAAUAAAAACCUGAGGUGAAGAACUAUCUUUCCCUGCAGUAGAAGUCCAUGUGAGAGGAGAGAGCUGUAUGAUACUAGAAGGACAAGACACCAAUAAGGGGCUCACAGCAGGUGGGCUUUUCUCCUAUCCAGAGCACCAACUGAAACAGACAGAAUGAACAGAGCACGAGGACUGUGUUUCACUUUACUACUACUGGGGUGUGUACAUGGGAGCAAGUCUCCUCAAAGAGAAGUGGUAUUCAGUAGAGGGAUCCAACUCUUUGUUGAAGGUUUGAACCCUUCUAAUCCCUCUGUAGUAAUCCUCUCCUCAUUUGGGCACAACCCUGGUGCUUCAGCUACACUGGUGUGUAUACUCAGUGGUUUAAAAACACACCAUUUGUUGGACAUCAUUUGGUGGAUCAACAACACAGUGGUAACCCCUGAGAACAAUGCCAUUUGGAGUUCCAGGGGAAGUGAUGGCACGUACACAACUACCGGACUGUGGACUAUGUCUGGAAAGGACUGGAAUCCCUAUAGUAACUAUGAGUGUGGAACCAGACAUGAAGGAAAGCAUUAUAGAAAUGGUACACAGCCCUCACUUUGCAUGGAUUUUACUUGAUUACAAAUAUUUGUUAACCUAUCAAAAAUUAUCCUUAGCAUUUCAUGUACAAUCUUUACUAUUAUUAAAGUAUUCAUGAUGUUUCUUGAGUAUUUUAUUGAAAGAUCAGGUAGCCUAGUGGUUAGAGCUUUGGAAUAGUAACUGAAAGGUUGCAAGUUCAAAUCCCUGAGUUGACAAGGUACAAAUCUGUUGUUCUUCCCCUUAAGACCCACUGUUCCUAGGUUGUCACUGAAAAUAAGAAUUUGUUCUUAUUAUCUGAUUUGCCUAGUUAAAGAAAAAAAUACAAAUAAAUAAAUACAGAUUAUCAUUCUAGUUGCCAUUACCAUAUGUUGACACUAGAUGGUGCUCACUGCCUGCAGUUGUAGUGUUUGUGUUGAGUGAUGGUAAAUUCAUAUGCAUGGCAUCUCUGUUUCACAAACUCACUGAUUUCAACUGAGACAAUGCUGCUCUUGUUCCUGGAUGUAUCUCUCAACAACAAGCUGUUAUACAAAUGGUCAUAUGCACAAAGCUGAAUACUCUUUAGUUUAUGUUCCAAACAACAAUUGUGUUUCUGUCAGCCCUUUAAAAAUAUUUUUGCAUAAUUUAUAAGUUCAUAAUAUCAUCAAUAAAAUAUACAAAUAAUGAACUAAUCUGCAUUGCACUUUCACAUACAAACUCACAACCACUUCUUUAUUUUGUCCUGGUCAUGCAUGCGUAUGCUUAUGUUCUUGGGGCCACUGGUUGCUGUCUGAUUCCUGUGAAGAAUUAACCAUAACAACCCAAUUGCCAUUAUCAGCCAAUGAAAUUGCUUUUGGAGCUCAGCUAACUGCUUGCUGUGUGAGUCAAUUCAGCAGAUUUGGGACACUUGUUGAAGAAACCUUGGAGAUAUGAGGAAUUUCUGAAUGGGAGAUGGGAUGGGAAAACGUUUACGUUGUGAGUGUGUGUCUGUGAGCUGUUUCCAAUUUGAAAGGCAACGUAUUUUGUCAGUACACCCAGAAAAAAAGUUAUAUCUAGAACCUCGGGUUCUUCGGCUGUCCCCAUAGGAUAACCCUUUGAAGAACCCUUUUUGGUUCCAGGUAGAAGAACCCUUUUGGGUUCCAUAAAGAACAAUUUUUACAGAGGGUUCUACAUGGAACCCAAAAUGGUUCUACCUGGAUCCAAAAAAGGUUAAUCUAUAGGGACAAUGAAGAACCCUUUUGGAACCCUUUUUUCUAAGAGUGUAUGUACCCCGUCUGAUUCAUCUCACUGCCAAGUGUAACCUGCUGUCUUCACAAUAACUUGAACGUGACCACUGCUUGGGGUACUAUCAUGGAAAAUGAACUCCAUACUCACUGGGCACAGAUGUCAACUCAACGUCUAUUCCAUGUUGGUUCAACCUUAUUUAAUUGAAAUUACGUGGCGACAACAUUAAUGCAACCAGUGUGUGCCCAGUGGGUAUCUGACUCCAAGUUAGUAAAUUCUAAUUGCAAAUCUAUGACACGCAUUUCAAGAUAUAGCAUGACGAGCAUGGAGAGACAAGUCAUUGAGUGAUCGACAGUACCAGUCAAAAGUUUGGACACACCUACUCAUUCAAGGGUUUUUCUUAAUGUUUUACUAGUUU